CAUUGGAUGAACCAAUCAGUUCGAAGCUGUAGAGUUUGGAGGUGGAUGUUACUAAAGGGAGGAAGUUGAUCACAAGUUUUCUUUCAGCAAUUGGUGAGUUACAGUUUUGUUUCACUUUUCAAGGAUGAGUAUCUUUACUUUGAAAAUGAACUGGUCAUAUUUCUAUUGAAAAUGAAGUGAUGUUGCUUCCCAGGUAAAUAAC
Triticum aestivum (bread wheat) is the source of this 202-nucleotide long non-coding RNA. RefSeq lists it as uncharacterized. The record is from RefSeq and is a predicted model, not a curated record. NCBI's taxonomy places the organism in Eukaryota, Viridiplantae, Streptophyta, Magnoliopsida, Poales, Poaceae. The transcript is spliced from 3 exons.